This 270-nucleotide ribosomal RNA is filed under the name uncultured bacterium. RNAcentral's name for it is "partial 16S ribosomal RNA". It matches the Rfam family "Bacterial small subunit ribosomal RNA", at positions 524 to 796 of the family's 1533-position model. The record is from RNAcentral.
UACGUAGGGUGCGAGCGUUAAUCGGAAUUACUGGGCGUAAAGCGUGCGCAGGCGGUUAUAUAAGACAGAUGUGAAAUCCCCGGGCUCAACCUGGGCACUGCAUUUGUGACUGUAUAGCUAGAGUACGGUAGAGGGGGAUGGAAUUCCGCGUGUAGCAGUGAAAUGCGUAGAUAUGCGGAGGAACACCGAUGGCGAAGGCAAUCCCCUGGACCUGUACUGACGCUCAUGCACGAAAGCGUGGGGAGCAAACAGGGUUAGUACCGGUAGUCC